AGGACGAACGCUGGCGGCGUGCUUAACACAUGCAAGUCGAGCGGAAAGGCCCUUCGGGGUACUCGAGCGGCGAACGGGUGAGUAACACGUGAGUAACCUGCCCUUCACUUUGGGAUAACCCUCGGAAACGGGGGCUAAUACCGGAUAUGACUGCCUUGCGCAUGUGGGGUGGUGGAAAGUUUUUCGGUGGGGGAUGGGCUCGCGGCCUAUCAGCUUGUUGGUGGGGUAAUGGCCUACCAAGGCGACGACGGGUAGCCGGCCUGAGAGGGCGACCGGCCACACUGGGACUGAGACACGGCCCAGACUCCUACGGGGGGCAGCAGUGAGGAAUUUUCGUCAAUGGGGGCAACCCUGAACGAGCAACGCCGCGUGCAGGAGAAGGUUUUCGGAUCGUAAACUGCUUUUCUCGGGGAAGAGAACGGACGGUACCCGAGGAAUCAGCCCCGGCUAACUACGCGCCAGCAGCCGC
This 469-nucleotide ribosomal RNA is filed under the name uncultured bacterium. Its description in RNAcentral is "SSU rRNA". It matches the Rfam family "Bacterial small subunit ribosomal RNA", at positions 26 to 518 of the family's 1533-position model. The record is from RNAcentral.